This 252-nucleotide ribosomal RNA is filed under the name uncultured bacterium. Its description in RNAcentral is "partial 16S ribosomal RNA". It matches the Rfam family "Bacterial small subunit ribosomal RNA", at positions 525 to 776 of the family's 1533-position model. The record is from RNAcentral.
ACGGAGGGUGCAAGCGUUGCUCGGAAUCACUGGGCGUAAAGCGCACGCAGGCGGCUUUUCAAGUCGGAUGUGAAAGCCCCGGGCUCAACCCGGGAACUGCAUUCGAAACUGGGAGGCUUGAGUUCGAGAGAGGGUGGUGGAAUUCCUGGUGUAGAGGUGAAAUUCGUUGAUAUCAGGAGGAACAUCGGCGGCGAAGGCGGCCACCUGGCUCGAUACUGACGCUCAUGUGCGAAAGCGUGGGGAGCAAACAGG